RNAcentral lists this long non-coding RNA (295 nucleotides) under Setaria viridis. Its description in RNAcentral is "long non-coding RNA (SVIR_LNC009402)". The record is from RNAcentral. Lineage: Eukaryota; Viridiplantae; Streptophyta; Magnoliopsida; Poales; Poaceae.
UCAGUUUACCAUAGAUGGAUAGAGACAAUACUCAAGGUAGGGGUAGGAUAUGAUAGAUAUGUAGUAUGGCACACACAGGAAUCGUCUCAAGAUAACAAAGCUAGGGAGGAGAUUGGAAAGAUGCGAGGAGGAGAGCAGAGGCAGCGAACAAUAAGGGAUUUCUUUUGUGCCUUAAAUAGGGAGCAGAGUAUAGAGGACUAUCAGCUUAUAUAAAAAAGAUACACAAUGUUAGUCCCUCUAUUCUGAAAUAAUGAACAAACUAUGACUAUUCUUGUUAGAUCAUAUUUUAAGUACA